UACGUAGGUGGCAAGCGUUGUCCGGAUUUAUUGGGUUUAAAGGGUGCGUAGGCGGUUCCAUAAGUCAGCGGUGAAAUACGGCAGCUCAACUGUCGAGGUGCCAUUGAUACUGCGGAACUUGAGUACUGAUGAGGUAGGCGGAAUUGACGGUGUAGCGGUGAAAUGCUUAGAUAUCGUCAAGAACACCGAUAGCGAAGGCAGCUUACCAAGCAGUAACUGACGCUGAGGCACGAAAGUGCGGGGAUCAAACAGG
This 253-nucleotide ribosomal RNA is filed under the name uncultured bacterium. RNAcentral's name for it is "partial 16S ribosomal RNA". It matches the Rfam family "Bacterial small subunit ribosomal RNA", at positions 524 to 776 of the family's 1533-position model. The record is from RNAcentral.